Molecule: ribosomal RNA, 484 nt
Filed under: uncultured bacterium
Lineage: Bacteria
Description: partial 16S ribosomal RNA
Rfam family: Bacterial small subunit ribosomal RNA
Source: RNAcentral
AUUGAACGCUGGCGGCAGGCCUAACACAUGCAAGUCGAGCGGAUGAAGGGAGCUUGCUCCUGGAUUCAGCGGCGGACGGGUGAGUAAUGCCUAGGAAUCUGCCUGGUAGUGGGGGAUAACGUCCGGAAACGGGCGCUAAUACCGCAUACGUCCUGAGGGAGAAAGUGGGGGAUCUUCGGACCUCACGCUAUCAGAUGAGCCUAGGUCGGAUUAGCUAGUUGGUGGGGUAAAGGCCUACCAAGGCGACGAUCCGUAACUGGUCUGAGAGGAUGAUCAGUCACACUGGAACUGAGACACGGUCCAGACUCCUACGGGAGGCAGCAGUGGGGAAUAUUGGACAAUGGGCGAAAGCCUGAUGCAGCAAUGCCGCGUGUGUGAAGAAGGUCUUCGGAUUGUAAAGCACUUUAAGUUGGGAGGAAGAGAAGUAAGUUAAUACCUUGCUGUUUUGACGUUACCAACAGAAUAAGCACCGGCUAACUUCGUG